CCCGAACUAGCUCAACGGUAGAGCACGAGAUUCAUAAUCUCGGUGUCGAAGGUUCGAAUCCUUCGUUCGCCU
This 72-nucleotide transfer RNA is filed under the name Corallococcus interemptor. RNAcentral describes it as "Corallococcus sp. AB047A tRNA-Met". It matches the Rfam family "tRNA". Rfam says of the family: Transfer RNA (tRNA) molecules are approximately 80 nucleotides in length. Their secondary structure includes four short double-helical elements and three loops (D, anti-codon, and T loops). The record is from RNAcentral. Lineage: Bacteria; Pseudomonadati; Myxococcota; Myxococcia; Myxococcales; Myxococcaceae.